Molecule: unclassified non-coding RNA, 410 nt
Filed under: Microbacterium testaceum
Lineage: Bacteria; Bacillati; Actinomycetota; Actinomycetes; Micrococcales; Microbacteriaceae
Description: 16S-23S ribosomal RNA intergenic spacer
Source: RNAcentral
CUAAGGAGCAUCUGACGCCCUGUCAUGGGGUUGUUCAGGCGCCGGAUCAGACCGAAUGUGUCUGCCGGUUAGCUCAUGGGUGGAACAUUUGACUUGGUGCUCAUUCGAUUCAUUUGGGUCUAGUACGCAGCUUGCUGUGGGAACGGUCUGGGUGGUGAGGGUGGGUACAUGCACGCUGUUGGGUCCUGAGGGGCCGGGCGCUGAUUGCGUCAGUCGUUUGGCUGGUGUGGUUGGUGUUUGUUCCUCUUGGGCCUGUUCUGGUGCCGGUGUUUCGGUGGCUGGGGUGGGUUCCGCCCGUACUUUGAGAACUACACAGUGGACGCGAGCAUCUUCGAGUCAGUCUUUGGCUGGCUCGUGAAGAUGAUCUUAAAGACCAUUGGUCAAUUUUUUGACGAUUCAACUCAUGUGAU